AUUCUCUCAUUGACUUUAGCAGGUCAAAGCUGGAGAGUCGUUUACCUAUCCUGCUUUGUCCAAGGAAAGAGAGAGCCAGCAAUCUUCUGAGAGGGAUUACACCAAAUAGUAAACUUCUUAUGUGUAAAUGAUCAAGCUGAAAUCAUCUUGUCAGUUUGUGCCAGAUCUCUCAAGCAAACUGAAUAAGGGGAAGAAACGUUCGAUGAUUUGAUCACCUGUCAGAAUCAUCUCUAUGAAAUGUCUCAUGCAGCUUUCAGUUCUUUCCCCACUACCAUCUGUGAAGCAAAAGAACAAAGCCCCCCUUCUCCCAUCCACUCCUCUGCCUGGUGUACAAUACCCUGCAUCCUGAUGUAAUAGUCUACACAUCUUUCCAGGUAAAUAUUUUCAACCAAACUGUACAACGACAUAUUUUAAUUAGCUUCUCAUCAACUGGACA
Molecule: long non-coding RNA, 436 nt
Filed under: Pogona vitticeps (central bearded dragon)
Lineage: Eukaryota; Metazoa; Chordata; Lepidosauria; Squamata; Agamidae
Description: lncRNA (ENSPVIG00000016535.1)
Source: RNAcentral